AGGGAGAAUAUGCGAGCACAUCAAGAGAUGCCCCCUAUGGCUAACCAGGGUAUGCAGAACUCAGGACCCACAGCUCCUCCCAACAUGGGUGGUAUGCCUCCAAACAGCAAUAUGGGUGGUAUGCCUCCAAACAGCAAUAUGGGUGGUAUGCCUCCAAACAGCAAUAUGGGUGGUAUGCCUCCAAACAGCCAUAUGGGUGGUAUGCCUCCAAACAGCAAUUUGGGUGGUAUGCCUCCUAACAGCAAUAUGGGUGGUAUGGCUCCUAACAGCAUGGGUGGGAUGCCCACGAACAACAAUAUAGGUGGUAUGGCUCCGAACAACAUGGGUGGGAUGCCCCCGAACAACAAUAUGGGUGGUAUGC
This 361-nucleotide long non-coding RNA is filed under the name Carica papaya (papaya). Its description in RNAcentral is "long non-coding RNA (CPAP_LNC005951)". Lineage: Eukaryota; Viridiplantae; Streptophyta; Magnoliopsida; Brassicales; Caricaceae. The record is from RNAcentral.